RNAcentral lists this ribosomal RNA (497 nucleotides) under uncultured bacterium. RNAcentral describes it as "partial 16S ribosomal RNA". It matches the Rfam family "Bacterial small subunit ribosomal RNA", at positions 28 to 507 of the family's 1533-position model. The record is from RNAcentral.
GAUGAACGCUGGCGGCGUGCCUAACACAUGCAAGUCGAGCGAACGUACGAGAAUCUUGCUUCUUUUAUUUUAGCGACUGACGGUUGAGUCACACGUGGAUAACCUUCCUAUAUUACUUGGCUUACUUCGGGAAACCUUUGCUACUACCAUCUGAUAUUUUUAACCGCAUGGUUCAGAUGUUCAAGACGCUCUUCCUGUCACUUAUAGCUGUUUCCGCGCUGCAUUAGCUAGUUGGUAAGGUAACGGCUUACCAAGGCGACGAUGCAUAGCCGACCUGAGAGGGUGAUAGGACACACUGGGACUGAGACAAGGUACAGACUCCUAAGGGAGGCAGCAGUAGGGAAUCUUCCGCAAUGGGCGAAAGCAUGACGGAGCAACGCCGCGUGAGUGAUGAAGGUCUUAGGAUCGUAAAACUCUGUUAUUAGGGAAGAACAGAUGUGGAAGUAACUGUGCACAUCUUGACGGUACCUAAUCAGAAAGCCACGGCUAACUACGUG